GGCGCUUAAAACUAUACGGAUCGUGUGCGAACGGGUUCCAGAAGUCGGUAGCCAGCGGCGUUAAAAAAACAGAUUGCCAUAAAGGUGAACAAUUAUUUAAUUAUACGGCUCGUGGCUUCUGGCUCUUGUCUAAUCUAGACGAACGAAGAACCGCAACAAUACUUGGAUCCCCGCAGACGGCUAACUACUAUAAAAUAGGCCAUAAACAAAUUGCUCUGACGCAGAGAAUUAAAAAAUAAGUCGCUUGAAGAGAGCGUUGU
This is a non-coding RNA of Drosophila takahashii, 260 nucleotides long. The record is from RefSeq and is a predicted model, not a curated record. Lineage: Eukaryota; Metazoa; Arthropoda; Insecta; Diptera; Drosophilidae.